UGGCGGCUGCCCGGCGCGUCUGGACGACAUUCCCCGGGGCCGUAUCUCACAGAACGGGAGCUGCCUCUGGCGGAGACCGUGGUCUCCAUCAUGCGGCGCCCACCUGGUCCUUAGGGUCCAGGGCGAACAAGAGUCCGACGGCCAGGGCGGCGCAAUU
Molecule: non-coding RNA, 157 nt
Organism: Alphaproteobacteria bacterium
Lineage: Bacteria; Pseudomonadati; Pseudomonadota; Alphaproteobacteria
Source: Rfam